RNAcentral lists this transfer RNA (71 nucleotides) under Loxodonta africana (African savanna elephant). It matches the Rfam family "tRNA". From Rfam's summary of the family: Transfer RNA (tRNA) molecules are approximately 80 nucleotides in length. The record is from Rfam by way of RNAcentral. Lineage: Eukaryota; Metazoa; Chordata; Mammalia; Proboscidea; Elephantidae.
GCUUGGAUAGUUCAGUGGUAGAAUUCUUGCCUUCCAUCUGGGAGACCUGGGUCUGAUUCCCAGCCAAAGCA